Molecule: ribosomal RNA, 374 nt
Filed under: Prionurus laticlavius (razor surgeonfish)
Lineage: Eukaryota; Metazoa; Chordata; Actinopteri; Acanthuriformes; Acanthuridae
Description: partial 12S ribosomal RNA
Rfam family: Bacterial small subunit ribosomal RNA
Source: RNAcentral
CAUUGAUAAUAUUUUACAAUUAUUAUCCGCCCGGGUACUACGAGCAUCAGCUUAAAACCCAAAGGACUUGGCGGUGCUUUAGAUCCACCUAGAGGAGCCUGUUCUAGAACCGAUAACCCCCGUUCAACCUCACCCUUCCUUGUUUUUCCCGCCUAUAUACCACCGUCGUCAGCUUACCCUGUGAAGGCCUAAUAGUAAGCAAAAUUGGCACAGCCCAAAACGUCAGGUCGAGGUGUAGCGUAUGGAAGGGGAAGAAAUGGGCUACAUUCCCUAACCCAGUGCAUACGGACGACACACUGAAACACGUAUCUGAAGGAGGAUUUAGCAGUAAGCAGAAAAUAGAGUGUUCUGCUGAAACUGGCCCUGAAGCGCGC